This 65-nucleotide transfer RNA is filed under the name Prosthiostomum siphunculus. RNAcentral describes it as "tRNA-Ser". The record is from RNAcentral. Lineage: Eukaryota; Metazoa; Platyhelminthes; Polycladida; Prosthiostomidae.
GAGGUAUCAAAAUCAGCAUGAAGGGCUGCUAACUCUUUAUGGAGUACAAAAGUAUUCAUACUUCU